Molecule: ribosomal RNA, 363 nt
Filed under: uncultured rumen bacterium
Lineage: Bacteria
Description: bacterial SSU rRNA
Rfam family: Bacterial small subunit ribosomal RNA
Source: RNAcentral
UUGGCUCAGGAUGAACGCUGGCGGCGUGCCUAACACAUGCAAGUCGAACGAAGCACUGAGAGUUUGAGAUUUCGGUCAAGAACUUUCUUUGACUUAGUGGCGGACGGGUGAGUAAUGCGUGAGCAACCUGCCUUUCAGAGGGGGACAACAGUUGGAAACGACUGCUAAUACCGCAUGAUAUAUUCGGAUGGCAUCGUCUGAAUAUCAAAGAUUUAUCGCUGAAAGAUGGGCUCACGUCUGAUUAGUUAGUCGGUGAGGUAACGGCUCACCAAGACUGCGAUCAGUAGCCGGACUGAGAGGUUGAACGGCCACAUUGGGACUGAGAUACGGCCCARACUCCUACGGGAGGCAGCAGUGGGGAAU